UCUCCCCAGGGACCCCCGGGAGAGGCUGGAUGGGCCCGGCCACGCCCCCCCAGGUUGCUGAUCUCCCCAGGGACCCCUGGGAGAGGC
This is a non-coding RNA of Eptesicus fuscus (big brown bat), 87 nucleotides long. Lineage: Eukaryota; Metazoa; Chordata; Mammalia; Chiroptera; Vespertilionidae. The record is from RefSeq and is marked provisional.